This 429-nucleotide ribosomal RNA is filed under the name bacterium. RNAcentral describes it as "partial 16S ribosomal RNA". It matches the Rfam family "Bacterial small subunit ribosomal RNA", at positions 355 to 776 of the family's 1533-position model. The record is from RNAcentral.
UAGGGAAUCUUCCACAAUGGACGAAAGUCUGAUGGAGCAACGCCGCGUGAGUGAAGAAGGAUUUCGGUUCGUAAAACUCUGUUGUAAGGGAAGAACAAGUACAGUAGUAACUGGCUGUACCUUGACGGUACCUUAUUAGAAAGCCACGGCUAACUACGUGCCAGCAGCCGCGGUAAUACGUAGGUGGCAAGCGUUGUCCGGAAUUAUUGGGCGUAAAGCGCGCGCAGGUGGUCCUUUAAGUCUGAUGUGAAAGCCCACGGCUCAACCGUGGAGGGUCAUUGGAAACUGGGGGACUUGAGUGCAGAAGAGGAAAGUGGAAUUCCAAGUGUAGCGGUGAAAUGCGUAGAGAUUUGGAGGAACACCAGUGGCGAAGGCGACUUUCUGGUCUGUAACUGACGCUGAGGCGCGAAAGCGUGGGGAGCAAACAGG